Molecule: ribosomal RNA, 613 nt
Filed under: Robillarda sessilis
Lineage: Eukaryota; Fungi; Ascomycota; Sordariomycetes; Amphisphaeriales; Sporocadaceae
Description: eukaryotic LSU rRNA
Rfam family: 5.8S ribosomal RNA (bases 244-397)
Source: RNAcentral
GGAAGUAAAAGUCGUAACAAGGUCUCCGUUGGUGAACCAGCGGAGGGAUCAUUAUAGAGUUUUCUAAACUCCCAAACCCAUGUGAACUUACCAUUGUUGCCUCGGCAGAACCUACCCGGUACCUACCCUGGAACUAGCUACCCUGUAGCUACCCAGGAACGGACUACCCUGUAACGUCCUGCCGGUGGACUUCUAAACUCUUGUUAUUUAUAGUAAUCUGAGCGUCUUAUUUUAAUAAGUCAAAACUUUCAACAACGGAUCUCUUGGUUCUGGCAUCGAUGAAGAACGCAGCGAAAUGCGAUAAGUAAUGUGAAUUGCAGAAUUCAGUGAAUCAUCGAAUCUUUGAACGCACAUUGCGCCCAUUAGUAUUCUAGUGGGCAUGCCUGUUCGAGCGUCAUUUCAACCCUUAAGCCUAGCUUAGUGUUGGGAAUCUGCUGUAAAGCAGUUCCUCAAAUACAACGGCGGAUCUGUAACAUCCUCUGAGCGUAGUAAAUUUUUAUCUCGCUUUUGUCAGGUGUUGCAGCUCUCAGCCGCUAAACCCCCCAAUUUUUGUGGUUGACCUCGGAUCAGGUAGGAAUACCCGCUGAACUUAAGCAUAUCAAUAAGCGGAGGA